RNAcentral lists this ribosomal RNA (377 nucleotides) under uncultured bacterium. RNAcentral's name for it is "bacterial SSU rRNA". It matches the Rfam family "Bacterial small subunit ribosomal RNA", at positions 523 to 898 of the family's 1533-position model. The record is from RNAcentral.
AUACGUAGGUGGCGAGCGUUGUCCGGAAUUACUGGGUGUAAAGGGCGUGUAGGCGGGAUGGUAAGUCAGAUGUGAAAUACCAGGGCUUAACUCUGGGGCUGCAUCUGAAACUACUGUUCUUGAGUGCCGGAGAGGAAAGCGGAAUUCCCAGUGUAGCGGUGAAAUGCGUAGAUAUUGGGAGGAACACCAGUGGCGAAGGCGGCUUUCUGGACGGUAACUGACGCUGAGGCGCGAAAGCGUGGGGAGCAAACAGGAUUAGAUACCCUGGUAGUCCACGCCGUAAACGAUGGAUACUAGGUGUAGGAGGUAUCGACCCCUUCUGUGCCGGAGUUAACACAAUAAGUAUCCCACCUGGGGAGUACGGCCGCAAGGCUGAA